AGUGAACGCUGGCGGCGUGCUUAACACAUGCAAGUCGAACGAGAACGGAUUAUAGCUUGCUAUAAUUGUCAGCUAAGUGGCGCACGGGUGAGUAAUGUAUAGGUAAUAUGCCUCUUACUAAGGGAUAACAAAUGGAAACGUUUGCUAAUACCUUAUACUCCUUAUUAACAGAAGUUAAUAAGGGAAAGAUUUAUUGGUAAGAGAUUAGCCUGUAUUGUAUCAGUUAGUUGGUGGGGUAAUGGCUUACCAAGACUAUGACACAUAACUGGUUUGAGAGGAUGGUCAGUCACACUGGAACUGAGACACGGUCCAGACUCCUACGGGAGGCAGCAGUGGGGAAUCUUGCACAAUGGACGAAAGUCUGAUGCAGCAACGCCGCGUGGAGGAUGACACAUUUCGGUGCGUAAACUCCUUUUAUAUGAGAAGAUAAUGACGGUAUUAUAUGAAUAAGCACCGGCUAACUCCGUGCCAGCAGCCGCGGUAA
Molecule: ribosomal RNA, 484 nt
Filed under: uncultured bacterium
Lineage: Bacteria
Description: partial 16S ribosomal RNA
Rfam family: Bacterial small subunit ribosomal RNA
Source: RNAcentral